GUUUCCCACUUAUAACCUUUUUCUUGGAAUUCUUAUAAGCGACUACUUCUCAAAGCGUUUGAAAUCUAGUAUUAAAAAUCUCUAUCCGUAUAUUUGAGUUCUGUCAAAAAAGUUUACAAUUCCAUGAACAUUUAAGGCUCGUUCGAGGGAUGGAAGAAAUGGAGAGAGAGAUUAGGUCUGUAAAAGAGUCAAAAAGUGAAAGAUCCCUGGAGUGAUCAGCUGCAAGAGAACCUUGGACAAUUAACAUUAUUAAAUCCAUGACAUGGAUUUAGCGGCAGAUGAAAUAAGCAUUCAGGCUGCUGUGGGAGAAGCAGAAAUGCAGAUACUAGCGGAUGAGCCACCCCUCAUGCCAGCGCAACAGCAACAGGUUGUUUUGCCGCAAUCAGUAUUCGCUAAUUUAAGGGGCCCUCCAAUGACAAAAACAGUUCUUCUUUGCCAACAAAUUUACCUGCUUUUGAAUUACAGUGGUAUGAUGAUCCUCAGAAGUCUACUCAGAGUGAAAUGUUUCUCAAUGAUAAGAAUUUUUCAUUGGAAACUUCCAGAGAUCCUGGAUGCAGUGCUGGAGUUUCAGGGAUUUCAGUUCCACAUAAAGAACCGUCUAUGGCUUCAUCAUCUGCACAAGCUGAUGUAUUAAGUACAAGCCUGGUUAUCGAAACUAAAGCAAACGGGGCAUUUUGGACAAUGAAAUGAUUCAAUCAUGAACAUCCAUUAUUGUUUAUUAUCUAACUGCAAUAUAUAAUUUUAAAAUGUUUUGUGUGUAAAAUGAAUUUAAGUCAAUGUUUUUGUAGGCUAUACUUAAGAUCCUUUUAAAUUUAAACAUAUAUUUUUAAAAUUAUAGUAGGCACAUCACUAAGUAAUAGUUUUUAUAGCAUUAUUAAUCAUUUAUAAACUCGGUAAUUUUUGUUUACUCCUUGCGUCUUUUUAGAAAUUUCAGAACCAUACUCUUUUACCAUCUUUUUAGUAAAAGAAUGUCAUCAGGUUUUGUUUUAACUUCAUUGCUCAACGAAUCUUAGAGCAACUUAAAAUAAUGAUUAUUUUCAUUCAGAUUGUGAUUAUGAAUAUUGACCAAAUUUUAUAUAGUUCCCUGUGUAUAUGGUGAUGCUUCACAUGUUGUACUAACAUUUCCUGACAAAUUUUAUGAAAGCUUACAAUCUUGCCAGGUAACUUAAUUGGUUUGCAUAUUAUCUUAAUCUGUUCCUUACUCGUUAUCAUUACCCUUCUCAUUUUGUAGUGCAUUUUUAAAAAUUUUUUUGUCUUUAAUAUAGAUAGUUACAAGAGAUCAUACUGUAUAUCUUUUACCAGUAAUGCUGCCUCUCAUUAAUUUCUGUAUAAUUUCAACUUGUAUUGUCACCAUUAGAGUAAAACACAUUUUGAUCUAAACUUUUAGUUUAUAAUUUGUGUGCAUUGUCUUUCUUCUUAAUAAGAAAAUUAUGUUCAUUGAUUGUAUUGGUUGAAAGGAAAAAAAUGUCUUCUUUUUUCAGUUGUGAAAGUCUCAGUUCUGGAGAAGAUGACAGGGCUUUGGGAAGUUGCCCUUUGGAUUCCGAACCAGAAAAAAAAAAAAGGUUGAAACUUCAUUUGGCGGGAAUUCUCUUUCAUUCUGCUUAUAGUUCUGUGAUAAUAGGUGUCUGCAAUUGAAUCUGCCAAUGAAUCCAAUUUCUAACAAUCUGCAAUUAGCACCAACAUCUGUUCGACAGAUAGUUGAAGAAUAUGAAAUGCCAUUCCAGUGAAAUUGAUUUUUGUUGUUGAUACUGAUAAAAAAACAAAAAAAUUAUCAUACUAGAAAUUUUUUACUAAAAAUGCCAAUUUAUACUUGAGGAUGAAAUUCAUUUAUGCUUGUAUCAAACAAUCCAUGAUAAUGUAAGAUAAGGGAACUUAAUUUUGACUAUAACUUUUGAAUUAGAUUUUGUUAACAUCAAUGUCGUAUGGAUGGCUUUUGUUUAUUAUUUUCAGAAAUAUAUGAUAUUAUAAUACUAGAUAUAACUUUUAAUUAAGUCAUAUUAGAUUACAGAAUUUUUUAAAAACUUGCUUUUGAAUGCAUCUUUUGUAUUUAUAUAUUACACAU
This is an RNA transcript of Argiope bruennichi, 2062 nucleotides long. RefSeq lists it as uncharacterized. NCBI's taxonomy places the organism in Eukaryota, Metazoa, Arthropoda, Arachnida, Araneae, Araneidae. The record is from RefSeq and is a predicted model, not a curated record. The transcript has 5 exons.